Molecule: long non-coding RNA, 365 nt
Filed under: Gossypium raimondii (Peruvian cotton)
Lineage: Eukaryota; Viridiplantae; Streptophyta; Magnoliopsida; Malvales; Malvaceae
Description: long non-coding RNA (GRAI_LNC001810)
Source: RNAcentral
UUUUUUGCCUGUAUAAGGUCCCCAAGGUUCAUUUUUGGUCGGUGAGUGAAGGAGAAGAAAUAGAAGGAGAAGAAAAGAAGAGAAGAAGGAGAAGGAGAAGGAGAGGGCGGGAAGGGAAGGUAAAAAAGAAAGAAAAAAAGAGAAGAGAAAAAGAGCGAGGGAAGGAGAAAGAGAAGGAAAAAAAAAUAGAAAAGAAAAUGUAUUUUUUUUGUUAUAAAUUAAUUGAUUAAUGUCAAUUUAAUUCGUUUUUGUUGUUAUUAUUGUUGAUUUAAUUCGGAUUUAAUUUUUAAAUUUAUUUUUAUAAGGUAUUAUUUGGUUAAAAAGAGCUAUUAAGGUGUGUUUGUAUUUAUUUUAUAUUUUCAUUC